AAGAAAGUGACUGCCGCCCCGCACAGGGGCGAAGCUAAUAGACCGAUAAGAAAACAAGUUUCAUAGGAGCGGAGGCGCAUCAAACGGUUCUACAGCCGCCG
Molecule: small RNA, 101 nt
Filed under: Caballeronia glathei
Lineage: Bacteria; Pseudomonadati; Pseudomonadota; Betaproteobacteria; Burkholderiales; Burkholderiaceae
Description: Burkholderia glathei Burkholderia sRNA Bp1_Cand684_SIPHT
Rfam family: Burkholderia sRNA Bp1_Cand684_SIPHT
Source: Rfam by way of RNAcentral